AUUGAACGCUGGCGGCAUGCCUUACACAUGCAAGUCGAACGGCAGCACGGGAGCAAUCCUGGUGGCGAGUGGCGAACGGGUGAGUAAUAUAUCGGAACGUGCCCAGUCGUGGGGAUAACGUAGCGAAAGCUACGCUAAUACCGCAUACGAUCUAUGGAUGAAAGCGGGGGAUCGCAAGACCUCGCGCGAUUGGAGCGGCCGAUAUCAGAUUAGGUAGUUGGGUGAGGUAAAGGCUCGCCAAGCCGACGAUCUGUAGCUGGUCUGAGAGGACGACCAGCCACACUGGGACUGAGACA
Molecule: ribosomal RNA, 296 nt
Filed under: uncultured bacterium
Lineage: Bacteria
Description: partial 16S ribosomal RNA
Rfam family: Bacterial small subunit ribosomal RNA
Source: RNAcentral